CCAGAAAAGGGCGGAUUCCUAUCAGCUCAGCCAAAUGCCCCCAUUAGACAGCGGAGGUUAUUUACGGUGCGGCAGGCGAAGGCAAUGGCACCCCACUCCAGUAUUCUUGCCUGGAAAUAUCCCAAGGGCGGAGGAGCCUGGUAGGCUGCAGUCCCUGGGGUCGCGAAGAGUCGGACACGACUGAGCGACUUCACUUUCACUUUUCACUCUCAUGCAUUGGAGAAGGAAAUGGCAACCCACUCCAGUGUUCUUGCCUGAAGAAUCCCAGGGACGGGGGAGCCUGAUGGGCUGCCGUCUAUGUGGUCUCACAGAGUCGGACACGACUGAAGCGACUUAGCAGCAGCAGCAGGCAUCCUCCUCCGGGGGGCACCUGCAGCCCUAGCGAGGCCGAAGCUGAAGGUUGUCCUCUUCCCGCUGCCCUAGGAGCGCUAAACAUCCCCAGAAGAGCCCUUCGGACUUCGUGGGAUGUCCGCUUCCUGGGACCCCAGGUCCAAGGACACAGGCGGGCAGCUGCUGAAACUCAGUAGUUCCUGGAUCUUCACUAUUUGGCCCCAGGAUGGUUUCUCCCCGCCCUCAUCAGGUGCAACUGGUCUCUGCACUAUCUGCAGCCCUGCAACUACCCUGACCUGCAUGAUUCCACACCGAUUCCAGAGAACUACCAGGCUGCAGAGGCUGAAGGCACAGGCAUGGGACUUACCACGGUCAGUCUCCAGACAGAUAUCCAGGCUGAACUGGGAACAGUCCUCCUUGAACUGCCUUCAGUAA
This 765-nucleotide long non-coding RNA is filed under the name Bos indicus x Bos taurus (hybrid cattle). RNAcentral's name for it is "lncRNA (ENSBIXG00000024412.1)". Lineage: Eukaryota; Metazoa; Chordata; Mammalia; Artiodactyla; Bovidae. The record is from RNAcentral.